AUAACAAACGUGAACUUCUAUUAUUCCUACGUAUCAAAAUAUUUCAUAGACAUACAUAGCUAUAAUUAAUAUGGCACGAUAAAUGAUAACACAUAACGAUAGCUCAUAACUUGAGACUCGUAAAACUUUGCUAACAAUAUCGAUUCAAUUCUGUUCAAGAGAGUGCAGAUGGUGAGAGCGCUAAAUUUGAACUCUCAAAAACAGGAAUCGUUUCGGGCCUUGUCACAAAGGGAGCCCAACUGCAAGCUGUAACAGCCGUAAGGUGAAGGGAAAAAACGACAAACGAAGCUGGCGAAAAAACGGCCACGAGUUUUUCCAGCGACAACCACGAAGUGUGUAGUGUGCUCUCUCUAUCCUUUUUUUCUCAUGUUCUGGGUAUCUGGCUGGGUCGCGCGCGCGAAACGGCGAUAUCAACGAGCGGCUUGUCGCUUCUGCGUGGCAGUCGUUAUUUACGGAAGCGAGCAACCAGUGCGGUUGAAUUGGUCCUCAGUGUAACGAGAAUAUCCGGGUCAGCGUGUAUGUCAGCCACGUUACGUGGAAGUAACGCUAUUAUUGUGCGAAAAAUGAUUGGAAGUUCUUCUAUUUUUGUCCUUCUGUCUCUGCAAACUGAAGAUCUCGCUUCACUAUUCCGGAGAAUGAUGAAUACGUUUGUCGGCUGCACGGUUUUCGUCCUCGCGAUACAGGCUAUUUAUCCUGAGAAGAUACCGAUACGGAAGCCAUGCGUUAAUAGCCAGACGACAAGCUACUAUUCAUAAAAUGUGUGGGUGUAGUUGCUGAUGUAAUGCUCCGGAAGAAUAUCAGUGGAUUUCAUUGCCAAGGGAGAGUCAGAAGUCACAUCGUAAAAAGUUGGCACGGUUUCAUCUUGGGCGGAAAGGCUAAGGAGAAUCAGCAAUCAGCGAAGAUUUUUACGAUUUCAUCAAAGUGCCUUCUUUGGCACUAGAUAGAUACUUAUGGAGAUUGGAUUGAUUAAUUUUCUGCUUGCUUAACAAUUUGCACAAUUGCUACAAAUUCCGAGACGUAUUACUUGUGAUUCUCAUGCCAAUUUUCCGACUAUAUUUUUGGCUUUUCCCAAUAUUUAAAAAUAUCGUAGUUCAUUCCAAACCUUCUACCUUGAACUUUAACGAAAUUACUUUCGUUCUAAUUCUUCAUAGUCCGUCUUCAAAAUAUAUUAUUAAAUGUAAGAACUUGAAGAAGUAAGAUUUAUAUCAGAGAUAUUUAUUUCGUGCAGGCUGAUACGAAUAAUAUGCGAAUAGGAACAAAAAUAAAAGCAAUGAAUGAUCUUUCAAAAUCAAUCGCAUUCAGAACUAAGAAUUUGUCUUGAUCUGAACGAUCUUUCCCCAAACGUAUACAUUUCACGCUCAUAAGUGUCGCGCACAAAAUUUCAUAUUUUAUAUACGGAAUUAUAGAUCUCAUCUUGAAAAAUAUCAUAUACGAAACAAAGUGUCAAAUAUAUAACAU
Long non-coding RNA from Bombus terrestris (buff-tailed bumblebee), 1458 nucleotides. RefSeq lists it as uncharacterized. Lineage: Eukaryota; Metazoa; Arthropoda; Insecta; Hymenoptera; Apidae. The transcript is spliced from 2 exons. The record is from RefSeq and is a predicted model, not a curated record.